ACCGAUAGUGAACCAGUACUGUGAAGGAAAGGUGAAAAGAACCCCGGGAGGGGAGUGAAAAGAAUCUGAAACUGUAUGCUUACAAAAAGUUAGAGCCCGUUAAAGGGUGAUAGCGUGCCUAUUGAAGAAUGAACCGGCGAGUUAUGAUGUGAUGCAAGGUUAAGCCGAAGAGGUGGAGCCGCAGCGAAAGCGCGUCUGAAUAGGGCGAAAGUAUCCCGUCAUAGACCCGAAACCCGACGAUCUAUCCAUGAGCAGGUUGAAGGUGGAGUACAAUCCACUGGAGGACCGAACCGACGUUCGUUGAAACGCCCGCGGAUGACUUGUGGAUAGGGGAGAAAUUCCAAUCGAGUUGGGAGAUAGCUGGUUCUCCUCGAAAUAGCUUUAGGGCUAGCGUAUGAUCAAUUGUUUGGUGGAGGUAGAGCACUGAAUGCCUGAUGGCCGCACCUAGCGGUACUGAAUGCAAUCAAACUCCGAAUUCCAUCAAAUCUACUCAUGCAGUCAGUCUGUGGGGGAUAAGCUCCAUGGACAAAAGGGAAACAGCCCAGACCAUCAAAUAAGGUCCCUAAAUUCAUGCUAAGUGUUAAAGGAUGUAGAGAUACUUAAACAGCUAGGAUGUUGGCUCAGAAGCAGCCACCAUUUAAAGAGUGCGUAACAGCUCACUAGUCGAGCGUCUCCGCGCCGAAGAUUUACCGGGGCUAAAGCAUGAUACCGAAUUUAUGGAUUUUAGAGUAAUCUAAAGUGGUAGAGGAGCGUUCCAUUUGCGGCGAAGCAAUACCGUAAGGAGUUGUGGAGCAUAUGGAAGUGAGAAUGCCGGUGUAAGUAACGAUAAUGGGUGAGAAUCCCAUUCACCAUUAGACUAAGGUUUCCUGGGGAAGGUUCGUCCUCCCAGGGUUAGUCGGGACCUAAGGCGAGGCCGAAAGGCGUAGUCGAUGGACAGCAGGUUUAUAUUCCUGCACCCGAAUAUAUGCGAUGUAGUGACAGAAAAGGCUAGUUGAUCCCUAUUAUUGGAUUUAGGGCAGAGCGGAGGACCUGUUGGAUUGGCAAAUCCGUCCAACAUUAAGGAAAGCCGUGCGGGAGCGAACAGGGCAACCUAAGUAGUGAAGUCAAUGAUGCCAGUUCUCUAGAAAAGCUGCUAGCUUAAGUAUAUUCGGCCCGUACCGAGAACGGACACACGUGGUCAAGGAGAGUAUCCUGAGGUGAGCGAGUUAACUGUUGUUAAGGAACUCUGCAAAAUUACUUCGUAAGUUCGCAAGAAGAAGUGCUCUCGAAAGAGAGUCGCAGUGAAGAGGCCCAGGUAACUGUUUAACAAAAACACAGCUUUAUGCUAAGCCGCAAGGCGAUGUAUAUGAGGUGAUGCCUGCCCAGUGCUGGAAGGUUAAAAGGAGGAGUUAGCCGCAAGGCGAAGCCCUGAUCUGAAGCCCCAGUGAACGGCGGCCGUAACUAUAACGGUCCUAAGGUAGCGAAAUUCCUUGUCAGGCAAGUUCUGACGCGCACGAAUGGUAUAAUAAUCUGGGCGCUGUCUCGACAGCAGACUCGGUGAAAUCUUAAUACCUGUGAAGAUGCAGGUUACCCGCGACUAGACGGAAAGACCCCAUGGAGCUUUACUAUAACUUAAUAUUGAUUGUCUGUGCUUUAUGCACAGGAUAGGUAGGAGACUUUGAAGCAGGAACUUUGGUUUCUGUGGAGUCAACCUUGGGAUACUACUCUUAAAUUGCGGACAAUCUAACCUACAACCUCACCGGUUGGGGAACAGUGUUAGGCGGGUAGUUUGACUGGGGCGGUCGCCUCCCAAAGUGUAACGGAGGCGCCCCAAGGUACCCUCAGUACGGUUGGAAAUCGUAUUUCGAGUGCAAAGGCAUAAGGGUGCUUGACUGCGAGACCUACAAGUCGAGCAGGGACGAAAGUCGGGCUUAGUGAUCCGGCGGUUCCGCGUGGAAGGGCCGUCGCUCAACGGAUAAAAGCUACCCUGGGGAUAACAGGCUGAUCUGAUCCAAGAGUUCACAUCGACGAUCAGGUUUGG
RNAcentral lists this ribosomal RNA (2020 nucleotides) under gut metagenome. Its description in RNAcentral is "bacterial LSU rRNA". It matches the Rfam family "Bacterial large subunit ribosomal RNA", at positions 483 to 2521 of the family's 2925-position model. The record is from RNAcentral.